AUCCCAUGAUGAGGACAUGUGCGAAUGUACUCCUGAAGACGUUCGCAAGCUUCGGGAAUCAUCUCAUCAGCCUAUUGCUGGAAGCUCGAGAUCUUCCCCUGUAGGGC
Sorghum bicolor (sorghum) is the source of this 107-nucleotide small nucleolar RNA. It matches the Rfam family "Plant small nucleolar RNA R71". Rfam says of the family: R71 is a member of the C/D box family of snoRNAs containing the C (UGAUGA) and D (CUGA) box motifs. Multiple nearly identical copies of this snoRNA have been identified in Arabidopsis, and it is thought to function as a 2'-O-ribose methylation guide for 18S ribosomal RNA. The record is from Rfam. Lineage: Eukaryota; Viridiplantae; Streptophyta; Magnoliopsida; Poales; Poaceae.